RNAcentral lists this long non-coding RNA (1041 nucleotides) under Monodelphis domestica (gray short-tailed opossum). Its description in RNAcentral is "lncRNA (ENSMODG00000047463.1)". Lineage: Eukaryota; Metazoa; Chordata; Mammalia; Didelphimorphia; Didelphidae. The record is from RNAcentral.
GGAAAGAGUUAAAGAAAGAAAAUUUCCUAAUGUCUAUACUAGUUAUCCUAUAACUACCUAUAAUUACUACCUAAAACUUCCUAUAUCUACCUAUAAUAACAACCACCCCCACAAAGUUCCAAUAGAAAGAUUGAAAAGAAGAAAGAGAGAUUACUAAGAUUAUACCCUACAAAUAUACCUAAAAUUCCUAAUACUGCCUCUCUAACUGUCUCCUGAGGACAGUUUCUUGUGCUUGGCACAACCCAGACCUAAUAUAACCCACUCUUCCAAUAAAUUAUUCACUAACUACCUAACUUCAUAAAAUAAUGGAUAGCCACCACUCACUCACUCCUUCAAUCAGUUUUCUAUAGCAGCCCAAACUAUCAGUAGCCAAGUGACAGCAGUUCCUUGCCUAUGAGUGUAUAAUUAUUUUAAAUUGAAAAGUUUAAAUUCUUUUUGAGAGUAAUUUUAGGCUAAGAAACAUGAUACCUCUCUGAAUCCAGAAAGUGAACUGUUUGGAGAAGGCACAAUAAAGAUGCCUCCACAGACCACAAGCUGCACCAGAAGUUCCAGAGUGAACUAUGCAACUAAAUGCCAGCCCACCCUAGGAGCCAACCAUCAAUGACCAACUGACGCCCAGCAGCCAAAUUCCCUGCAACUCCAGCCCUAACUGUCAGCAACUGACUCAUCAAAUGCCAGCAAUUACCGCUCCUAACUUGCUGACAGCUGUGAUUCGACGAGGAUGGGGAGGAUAAAGGAAGGGGAGCCUACACUUGCGCAGUAGCGCCUUCUGGGAGGCGCUGGAGCGACUUUUGGCAGCUGCUGGUAAGUGCCGGAUCCUUGUACCUCGUGUUUGCUACACUAGGGCAAGCGGCGGCGUCUAGGUUUAGAGAGCCCCGUGGAGGGAGAGACUGCGAUUGCAUCGGAAAGCAUCCACUGUUGCGGCGUGCAUUGCUUGGAUCAGGAAUGGCUGACGAUCUGGGAGACGAGUGGUGGAAAUCAGAAGGUGUGGGAGCCCACGGAGGCGGCGGCAGCGGCAGCGGCAGCAGCGCAGACUUUUAA